Xenopus laevis (African clawed frog) is the source of this 704-nucleotide long non-coding RNA. RefSeq lists it as uncharacterized. The record is from RefSeq and is a predicted model, not a curated record. The transcript is spliced from 4 exons. NCBI's taxonomy places the organism in Eukaryota, Metazoa, Chordata, Amphibia, Anura, Pipidae.
UGCAUACUCCAGAUGAGGCCUCACCAGGGACCUAUAAAGAGGCAUAAUUAUGUUUUCAUCCCUUGAGUUAAUGCCAUGCUGUUAACUUGCACUGUUUGGCAUUUUACUGAUCCUUGUGUCUUAUUUGCAUAUAGGUUGAAGAAUGGCGCAACAGGAAAUUGUCGGACUGCAAGACACGUAUGGCCAUUGCUGUAAAAAAACAUAAGACUGCUACACAGCAAGUCGCCACUGUACUUUUAGAAGAAGAAGAAGAACAGUGGUUUGAUGUGUUCUAUAAAAAAUACGGCCAUCCUUUGUCAGGAGUGGGACAAGCCCGAAGACAUUCUUCAUCUCAUCAUCAGGGGAGCCGAUUCACAGUGUGACAAACGACAUUGCUAGACUUCAUCAGAAGUUUAAUUUGCGCCCUGUGACUAGUCAAGAGGCUAGAAGAAGAAUGGAGACAUACAUGGCCUCCCACUUAAAAACUGAUGCAGAGAGGUACUCGUUUGCCAAGAUGCUGGGCCAUUCAAAUUUGACUGCCGAAAGGGUUUAUCGAGAGAAGACCAUUGAAAAUAUGGUAGAAGCGGCAGAAGUCAUGAAGAAGGCAUUGUAUGGCCCCCAGGCUUCGACAUCAAGGUUUAAACAGAUGCCACAGCAGCCACUGGAAAACGGAAAGUACAGUAGUCUCUCGAGACUUGAGGGAGAAUGCUUUUGAGAGAUUCAAA